AGAACGAACGUUAGCGGCGCGCCUAACACAUGCAAGUCGCACGAGAAAGGGCUUCGGCCCCGGUACAGUGGCGCACGGGUGAGUAACACGUAGAUCAUCUCCCCUCGAGUGGUGGAUAACUUUCCGAAAGGAAAGCUAAUACAGCAUGAGACCACGGCUUCGUUGAAGCUGCGGCCAAAGCAGGCCUCUACACGUAAGCUUGCGCUUGAGGAUGAGUCUGCGGCCCAUCAGCUAGUUGGUAGGGUAAUGGCCUACCAAGGCUAAGACGGGUAGCUGGUCUGAGAGGAUGAACAGCCACACUGGAACUGAGACACGGUCCAGACUCCUACGGGAGGCAGCAGGUGGGGAAUCGUUGCGCAAGUGGCGAAAGCCUGACGCAGCGACGCCGCGUGAGCGAUGAAGGCCUUCGGGUGACAAAGCUCUGGUGGGAGAAAGAAGUAAGGUGACUAACAUCCAACUGAGUGACGUACCUCGUUAG
This 478-nucleotide ribosomal RNA is filed under the name uncultured soil bacterium. RNAcentral's name for it is "bacterial SSU rRNA". It matches the Rfam family "Bacterial small subunit ribosomal RNA", at positions 26 to 486 of the family's 1533-position model. The record is from RNAcentral.